CAGUCGCCACGGUAAUACAGAGGGUGCGAGCGUUAAUCGGAUUUACUGGUCGUAAAGCGUGCGUAGGCGGCUAAUUGAGUCGGAUGUGAAAUCCCCGAGCUUAACUUGGGAAUUGCAUUCGAUACUGGUUAGCUAGAGUGUGGGAGAGGAUGGUAGAAUUCCAGGUGUAGCGGUGAAAUGCGUAGAGAUCUGGAGGAAUACCGAUGGCGAAGGCAGCCAUCUGGCCUAACACUGACGCUGAGGUACGAAAGCAUGGGGAGCAAACAGGAUUAGAUACCCGCGUAGUCCCUGUCUCUUAUAC
RNAcentral lists this ribosomal RNA (301 nucleotides) under uncultured bacterium. RNAcentral describes it as "partial 16S ribosomal RNA". It matches the Rfam family "Bacterial small subunit ribosomal RNA", at positions 509 to 807 of the family's 1533-position model. The record is from RNAcentral.